UGAAGAAUUUAUCCAACGGCGGGGGAUAGCCGGCCCAACGGCCGGGUAAUACCGCGUACGACCUUCCGGGGGCAUCCCCUGAUGGUGAAAGCCGCAAGGCGCCGAUGGAGAACUUCGCGGCCUAUCAGCUAGUUGGUGAGGUCAUGGCUCACCAAGGCGACGACGGGUAGCUGGUCCGAGAGGAUGACCAGCCACAUUGGGACUGAGACACGGCCCAGACCUCCGUACGGGGAGCAG
This 237-nucleotide ribosomal RNA is filed under the name uncultured bacterium. RNAcentral's name for it is "partial 16S ribosomal RNA". It matches the Rfam family "Bacterial small subunit ribosomal RNA", at positions 118 to 351 of the family's 1533-position model. The record is from RNAcentral.